CGCCAUCAGAUAGAGUACUACACUGACGACAUGGUUCUACAAAACUACGAUUAGAUACCCUAUUAUUUUAAAUUUAAAUUUUAUUUCCUAAUUAGUAUUAGAUAAGUUCUUUAAAGUUAAAAAAUUUGGCGGUAUUUUAGUCUAUUCAGAGGAACCUGUCCCUUAAUUGAUAAUCCACGAUUUUAAUUACUUAAGAGAUUUGGCUUGUAUAUCGUCGUUUUAAAAUAAUUCUAUUAGGAUUUUAAAUUUUUUAUAUUUAUUAUUAUAAUUUAAAUCAGAUCAAGGUGCAGUUAUUUUUAAGUGGAGAUGGGUUACAAUAAAUUUAUUUAUUAUGAAUUAUUAUUUUAUAUUUAAUAUGAAGGUGGAUUUGAAAGUAAAAUUAUUUAAAUAUUUUUUUGAUUAUAGCUCUAAAAUAUGUACACAUCGCCCGUCGCUCUUAGACCAAGUCUCUGCUACCGUAAGUACUCUAUCUGAGCGGGCUGG
RNAcentral lists this ribosomal RNA (483 nucleotides) under Hydrocanthus iricolor. RNAcentral's name for it is "partial 12S ribosomal RNA". The record is from RNAcentral. Lineage: Eukaryota; Metazoa; Arthropoda; Insecta; Coleoptera; Noteridae.